AUACGUAGGGAGCGAGCGUUGUCCGGAAUUACUGGGUGUAAAGGGAGCGUAGGCGGGAGUGCAAGUCAGAUGUGAAAUACAUGGGCUCAACCCAUGGGCUGCAUUUGAAACUGCAUUUCUUGAGUGAAGUAGAGGUAAGCGGAAUUCCUGGUGUAGCGGUGAAAUGCGUAGAUAUCAGGAGGAACACCGGUGGCGAAGGCGGCUUACUGGGCUUUUACUGACGCUGAGGCUCGAAAGCGUGGGGAGCAAACAGGAUUAGAUACCCUGGUAGUCCAUGCUGUAAACGAUGAUUACUAGGUGUGGGGGGACUGACCCCUUCCGUGCCGCAGUUAACACAAUAAGUAAUCCACCUGGGGAGUACGGCCGCAAGGUUGAAACUCAAAUGAAUUGACGGGG
Molecule: ribosomal RNA, 396 nt
Filed under: uncultured bacterium
Lineage: Bacteria
Description: partial 16S ribosomal RNA
Rfam family: Bacterial small subunit ribosomal RNA
Source: RNAcentral